UGGGGAAUAUUGGACAAUGGGCGAAAGCCUGAUCCAGCCAUGCCGCGUGUGUGAAGAAGGUCUCCGGAUUGUAAAGCACUUUAAGUUGGGAGGAAGGGCAGUAAGCGAAUACCUUGCUGUUUUGACGUUACCGACAGAAUAAGCACCGGCUAACUCUGUGCCAGCAGCCGCGGUAAUACAGAGGGUGCAAGCGUUAAUCGGAAUUACUGGGCGUAAAGCGCGCGUAGGUGGUUCGUUAAGUUGAAUGUGAAAGCCCCGGGCUCAACCUGGGAACUGCAUCCAAAACUGGCGAGCUAGAGUAGGGCAGAGGGUGGUGGAAUUUCCUGUGUAGCGGUGAAAUGCGUAGAUAUAGGAAGGAACACCAGUGGCGAAGGCGACCACCUGGGCUCAUACUGACACUGAGGUGCGAAAGCGUGGGGAGCAAACAGG
This 429-nucleotide ribosomal RNA is filed under the name Pseudomonadota bacterium. RNAcentral describes it as "Proteobacteria bacterium partial 16S ribosomal RNA". It matches the Rfam family "Bacterial small subunit ribosomal RNA", at positions 355 to 776 of the family's 1533-position model. Lineage: Bacteria; Pseudomonadati; Pseudomonadota. The record is from RNAcentral.